Molecule: unclassified non-coding RNA, 488 nt
Filed under: Hevea brasiliensis (rubber tree)
Lineage: Eukaryota; Viridiplantae; Streptophyta; Magnoliopsida; Malpighiales; Euphorbiaceae
Source: RNAcentral
UUUUUUUUUUUUUUUAACUGAGUAAGCAUUGUAGUUCAUUAGAUGAGGUUGAUCAAGUUUCUAGGGUAACCACUUUUUACCCGAACGUUGGAUAGUUGCCUUAUCUGAAUAGGCAAAUAUCCUCUAAAUAUCCUCUGUUCAGAUAAGGCUUUGCUGAAAUGGGAAUGUGGCAAGUGAUGAUGUGUUUUGUCAUAUAGAGAAGGAUUGAUGUGAGGGAUAAUUUGCUAGGACAGUUGAAAGAUACAUCAGAUAUGCUGAUAAAGCCUGAUAUAUGGAAUCUUCUUUGCAAAAGGUGGAGGGAGAGAGAGAGAGAAUUGACAAUGGGAAAGGAAACAUAUAUCCAUGGAUUGGAGUGUACUGGGCCUCUUAUCCCUCUUUAUGAUGUCACUACAGUUAUGUAAAGAACUUGAAUACAUUGUUUCUUGGAUUGAAUCAGGUUCUUGGAAAUUUCAAUGAGAAAUAAAAAGAUGUUUACUUUAAAAUAAUCC